This 374-nucleotide ribosomal RNA is filed under the name Nematoda sp. RNAcentral describes it as "SSU rRNA". It matches the Rfam family "Eukaryotic small subunit ribosomal RNA", at positions 252 to 626 of the family's 1831-position model. Lineage: Eukaryota; Metazoa; Nematoda. The record is from RNAcentral.
UUGAGCAAUUUAGCUGAUCGCACGGUCUAUGAACCGGCGACAUAUCCUUCAAACGUCUGCCUUAUCAACUUUCGAUGGUAGAUUAUGCGCCUACCAUGGUUGUAACGGGUAACGGAGAAUCAGGGUUUGAUUCCGGAGAGGGAGCCUGAGAAACGGCUACCACAUCCAAGGAAGGCAGCAGGCACGCAAAUUACCCACUCCCGGCAAGGGGAGGUAGUGACGAAAAAUAACAAGCUGGUCUCUAUGAGGUCCGGCAUUGUAAUGGGAACAACUUAAAUCAUUUAUCGAGGAUCUAUUGGAGGGCAAGUCUGGUGCCAGCAGCCGCGGUAAUUCCAGCUCCAAUAGCGUAUAUUAAAGUUGUUGCGGUUAAAAAG